GCCUUCGUAGUGUAGUGGUCAGCACUCAUGACGCUUAACCGAGAAGUCCGUGGUUCGAUUCCCGGCGAAGGCG
Molecule: transfer RNA, 73 nt
Filed under: Stegodyphus mimosarum
Lineage: Eukaryota; Metazoa; Arthropoda; Arachnida; Araneae; Eresidae
Rfam family: tRNA
About the family: Transfer RNA (tRNA) molecules are approximately 80 nucleotides in length. Their secondary structure includes four short double-helical elements and three loops (D, anti-codon, and T loops).
Source: Rfam by way of RNAcentral